Non-coding RNA from Phascolarctos cinereus (koala), 307 nucleotides. NCBI's taxonomy places the organism in Eukaryota, Metazoa, Chordata, Mammalia, Diprotodontia, Phascolarctidae. The record is from RefSeq and is a predicted model, not a curated record.
CCUCUUUGAAGCAGCCACCUUUCCUUUUGCCAACAUGAGGACCAAGGGACUAAGAACCAUCCAAGUAUGCAGGAAAGGUCAUGGAAAGGCAGUUUAAUUAUUGCGUAUGCAGCGAUGCACCCAGCCCACAUUCCCAACAAACGGAUGGAUUUUGGUUCAGUCUAAAGGGGACUCCUGAGCCCAAGGAAUUUCAGGUCUCAGGAAGCAGUUGGUAAUAAUUUCAUAGGUGGUGGUGAAUUGGGCCCUGAAAUUACACUGGGAAUAUGGCCAGUUUUACAGCACUUCAAGAAGAAGAAGAAGAAGAAGA